AUUGAACGCUGGCGGCAGGCCUAACACAUGCAAGUCGAACGGUAACAGGAAACAGCUUGCUGUUUCGCUGACGAGUGGCGGACGGGUGUGUAAUGUCUGGGAAACUGCCUGAUGGAGGGGGAUAACUACUGGAAACGGUAGCUAAUACCGCAUAACGUCGCAAGACCAAAGAGGGGGACCCUCGGGCCUCUUGCCAUCGGAUGUGCCCAGAUGGGAUUAGCUUGUUGGUGGGGUAACGGCUCACCAAGGCGACGAUCCCUAGCUGGUCUGAGAGGAUGACCAGCCACACUGGAACUGAGACACGGUCCAGACUCCUACGGGAGGCAGCAGUGGGGAAUAUUGCACAAUGGGCGCAAGCCUGAUGCAGCCAUGCCGCGUGUAUGAAGAAGGCCUUCGGGUUGUAAAGUACUUUCAGCGGGGAGGAAGGGAGUAAAGUUAAUACCUUGGCUCAUUGACGUUACCCGCAGAAGAAGCACCGGCUAACUCCGUG
Molecule: ribosomal RNA, 490 nt
Filed under: uncultured bacterium
Lineage: Bacteria
Description: partial 16S ribosomal RNA
Rfam family: Bacterial small subunit ribosomal RNA
Source: RNAcentral